Long non-coding RNA from Canis lupus familiaris (dog), 273 nucleotides. RefSeq lists it as uncharacterized. NCBI's taxonomy places the organism in Eukaryota, Metazoa, Chordata, Mammalia, Carnivora, Canidae. The record is from RefSeq and is a predicted model, not a curated record. The transcript has 2 exons.
UGGGGAGCUGGAUGCAGGACUUAGUCCCAGGACCCUGCAUCAAGCCCUGAGCCAAAGGCAGGCACUCAACCACUGAGCCACCCAGGUGUCCCUCACUCCUAUAUUUCUGCCUGGAAAAUGCAAAUUCAUCAAGUGUCUCCUCCUCACCAGAGCUCCAUUUCGGCCAUUUCUACCUUGCAGCAUGAUUGUUAAUGCUUAUUAGUGCCUGGUCUGUUGUUAAGAAGAUUUCAGCUAAAAAAAAAAAAAGAAGAAGAAGAAGAAGAAGAAGAAGAA